CUGAAGGCCGCGUUCGGGUCAAUUGCGGACUGCAACACCCGAUCUCCCUCCGGGCACCCCCAGACGAGGUGCCCGCCGAGGGGGAGCGCGUCACCGUCAG
This 100-nucleotide non-coding RNA is filed under the name unclassified sequences. The record is from Rfam.